RNAcentral lists this unclassified non-coding RNA (553 nucleotides) under Hevea brasiliensis (rubber tree). The record is from RNAcentral. Lineage: Eukaryota; Viridiplantae; Streptophyta; Magnoliopsida; Malpighiales; Euphorbiaceae.
CUCUGAAACACUAGUUUCUACAUGGAACAAAAGGUUCUAACUUUGAUAUUAUAUUAUCGGAGUGUCCAACACCCAUUCCAAGGUUCCAACUUGCGAACAUUGUCUCGUUCAUAAUUUGUAAUGAUAUAUCUCAAGGAUCAUUCUUCCUCAGACGGCUGCAAAGCAACCAGAGAGAGAAGUUAAUACGUUCUAUUUAUUUGUCAUUUUAUUAAAGCUUUUUUAGGUUCCAUUUCCAAGUUUAGGGUCCCCCCAGUACGCCAAACGCGUCAACCUGCAGCUUUUGUCUAUCAUAGUUUUGUCUUUGCAUGAGUUGUGUCCAUUUGCACAGACGUAAGGGAUAGCAUGCUCUUCUUCUUAUUAUUAUUAUCUCUCUAGUAUAAUACAAAUGUAAUGUUCUUUCUAGUUUUGGGAUGCCGUAUAGAAGUGUCUGAUUAUUGUCUGUAGCUGUGAUCGUGAGACAAGUGAAUCAUGGAUUAGAUUCAGCAAAAAUCUGUCCUUUUUAAUUAUUACUGUGUCCCAUCUUGAUUAAGUAACCAAUGAUGUGAUAUUAGCC